This 395-nucleotide ribosomal RNA is filed under the name uncultured bacterium. RNAcentral describes it as "bacterial SSU rRNA". It matches the Rfam family "Bacterial small subunit ribosomal RNA", at positions 505 to 898 of the family's 1533-position model. The record is from RNAcentral.
GUGCCAGCAGCCGCGGUAACACGGGGGGAGCAAGCGUUGUUCGGAAUCACUGGGCGUAAAGGGCGUGUAGGCGGUUCGGCAAGUGAAAUGUGAAAUCCCUCGGCUCACCCGAGGAUCUGCAUCUCAAACUGCCGGACUAGAGUAUGGGAGAGGACAAGGGAAUUCCUGGUGUAGCGGUGAAAUGCGUAGAUAUCAGGAGGAACACCGGUGGCGAAAGCGCUUGUCUGGCCCAAUACUGACGCUGAGGCGCGAAAGCUAGGGGAGCAAACGGGAUUAGAUACCCCGGUAGUCCUAGCCGUAAACGGUGAUCACUAGGUGUUGGAGGCAUCGACCCCUCCAGUGCCGCAGCUAACGCAUUAAGUGAUCCGCCUGGGGAGUACGGCCGCAAGGUUGAA